CUGAGUUCGCUUCGCUUUAGAUCACAGCACCAUUCUUUACUCGCAUAACGAGCAACGUUAUCAGUUACGGCGCCGGCUGAAUUGUUUUUUAUGUUAUCGACGGAUACUCUACUCUUCUUCUUGACUCGUUCGACUUCUGCACUCCCAUGAAUACUUGCUUCUGGUCGAAGACGGCGUUAUGUGUUGAUGGUAUUCGGACCUCUGAUUAACAUUCAAUAUUGGCUCUGCUGUUGCCUAUUAGAGAGGUAGCAGGUUCAGCACCAAGAAAUGGUUUCCAUCUGUGUGCCAUUGACAACCUAGAAACUUCAACUCAUAGGAUGAAGAUGAAGCAUGACACGAGUGCCAUGCCCUUAACGAUCCAUCAUGAACUGAAAGGACGUGAUAGCUUUUAACAAUCUGAUGGUCUUGAUACAUGUGAAUUAAAGAGUUGCUCACAGCAUUGUAUGUCAACGGAAGAAAGUUGAAGAGCGAAAAGAAGGCAGUUUGAUCUAUUCCAUUGUCCAAAUGGUUUCAAAAUCAAGGAAGGUUUUCUGAAGCAUUCUAGACAAAAUCUAGUAAUGUAAGGUGCUUAGAUAAAUCUUGCUGCAUGCAACCGGUGUAGGUGUUGCGCUAUCUUCUGCCAGCACAAUGUCAGGACAGGCCAGUAAACAGAGCACUAGGUUGGCACAAGCUUCUAGUGGUCGGUCAUCUCUUUUCCCUCGGUGUCUUGGCACUAGGACAUGCCAAUGACACUGUGGGCUAUAUAACACGCUAUGCUGCUCGGAUUCAGCAACUUUAUACAUAAGGGUCUAUGAUUUGAUCACAUUAGCCAGAAGAGCCUCUCAUCUUAUACGUAUGAAAUGCCAGCACACUUGUGCCGACCAUGCAGUGUCAUGCAUGUCGAAGAGCACUAAUUGCAUCAUUUGAUGCUGAAAUUACACUCAAUAUUGGUUGCGGAACAUACGAGGCAAAACUCAGUGCUACAACAUAUCGACUG
This is a non-coding RNA of Musa acuminata subsp. malaccensis (wild Malaysian banana), 976 nucleotides long. The record is from RefSeq and is a predicted model, not a curated record. Lineage: Eukaryota; Viridiplantae; Streptophyta; Magnoliopsida; Zingiberales; Musaceae.